GUUAUCGGAUUCACUUUAAUCCAUGUGUGUUGGUGUGGAUUGUGGUGGAUUUUAGUUUAAGUUCUACUCCAGUCCACCUCAACACAUGUGGAUUGAUGUGAAUCCAACU
Sorghum bicolor (sorghum) is the source of this 109-nucleotide microRNA precursor. It matches the Rfam family "MIR5565 microRNA precursor family". The record is from Rfam. Lineage: Eukaryota; Viridiplantae; Streptophyta; Magnoliopsida; Poales; Poaceae.